CCUACGGGAGGCAGCAGUGGGGAAUAUUGGACAAUGGGCGAAAGCCUGAUCCAGCCAUGCCGCGUGUGUGAAGAAGGUCUUCGGAUUGUAAAGCACUUUAAGUUGGGAGGAAGGGCAGUAANUUAAUACCUUGCUGUUUUGACGUUACCAACAGAAUAAGCACCG
RNAcentral lists this ribosomal RNA (165 nucleotides) under uncultured bacterium. RNAcentral describes it as "partial 16S ribosomal RNA". It matches the Rfam family "Bacterial small subunit ribosomal RNA", at positions 338 to 495 of the family's 1533-position model. The record is from RNAcentral.